This 1034-nucleotide long non-coding RNA is filed under the name Sorghum bicolor (sorghum). RNAcentral describes it as "long non-coding RNA (SBIC_LNC003424)". The record is from RNAcentral. Lineage: Eukaryota; Viridiplantae; Streptophyta; Magnoliopsida; Poales; Poaceae.
CCGGAGGGAGAACGAGGAGCGCGCACCACGGUGGGGAAAACGCUCGGUUCCGGUGAGAUCCAACCGAGUUUCGCUGGGGCGCCUGGGGCUUGAUCUUCGCGGCACGGUGGGAAAACGGAGUGCGGGGCGACCUAAGGGACCUUUAUAGGGCUCGGAACGGCAAGAUAUCCCGGGAUUUUCGGGAUCGAUUCGGCCGGAGAAGGAAAGUUCGUCUCGGUUACGGCUUGGAGAAGAAGAACAGGGCACCGACAGGUGGGCCCGAGGUGUCGGCGGCAAAAGGGAGGGAGAGGGAGUGCUGCGCGCGCGGGCCUGGCCGCUGGGCCGAGAACGAGCUGGGCCGCUCGCGACGCGGGGGUGGGGGAAAACUGGGCGCGGGGCUGGCUGGGCCUCGGUCUGGUUUCCCCAGGGGCUUCUCCCCUUUCUCCUUUUUUUUAUUUUAUUUUCUGUUUUUCUUUUUUUCCUAUUUCUUCUUUGUUUUCUAAAGUCUUUUUAAAAAGAGAUUUUAAAUCCUUUUGGAGAAACAAAAUGCAUAGACAAAAAGCAAGCAAGCAAGUAAAUAAAUUAAUUCCAGCAUGAAUGCACAACCAAGUUUUCUAAACUUAUAAUAAAUUUUAAUUUUGACCAAAACUAUUUUAUUUACUGGAUUAAAUGCUCACCAAAAAUGAUUAAUUAAAUCAAAUUAAUUCCUAUUAAUUGAAAACAAAUUUUUGGGUGUUACAAACUCUACCCCCUUAAAAGAUUCUUGUCCUCGAGAUUGAAAGGUGCUUACUCAAACAAAUAUGAGUAUGAUUUCCUCAGGUCAUCCUCUCUUUCCCAAGUUGCCUCCGCUUCCGAAUACCGAUUCCACUGCACUUUGCACAUUCUAAUGACCCGACUUCUGGUGACUCUCUCAGCUGUCUCCAAAAUUCUGACCGGAUACUCUUCAUAAGUGAGAUCACCUUUAACAAAAAGCUCUUCCAAUGGUAUUUGUUCCUCAGGUACAUGCAAACACUUCUUAAGUUGUGACACAUGGAACACAUCAUGCACACCAGAUA